Long non-coding RNA from Hypanus sabinus (Atlantic stingray), 1955 nucleotides. RefSeq lists it as uncharacterized. NCBI's taxonomy places the organism in Eukaryota, Metazoa, Chordata, Chondrichthyes, Myliobatiformes, Dasyatidae. The record is from RefSeq and is a predicted model, not a curated record. The transcript has 4 exons.
AGAUCUGUUUCAGACCAGGAGAUUUUACCAAAAUUAUACAUCAAUAUGGGCACAGGUUUGAAGUAGAAUUACUGUAUUCUGUCUGCUCUCCUCAUUACAUCAACAAGAUGUGACAACAAGAACGGAAGAGAGGGGAGAGAGAGAGUGCAAAAACAAAUGGAUGGCGGGCAUCACUGAAUCGUGGCUGACAAAAUUUUAUAGUUGGGUGCUUAAACCCAAGGAUAAAUAUUGAAUCAAUAGGAUACGCAGAUCAAACUAUUGAUGUUUGUGGUCAUGAGAUAUCAGCUUUGUGCGUGAUCUUUCACAUCCAAUCAAUCUCGGAGUAUUUCACGGAAGUUACCAGGAAAGUUGAUGAAGGCAAGGUUGUGGAUAUUGUCUACAUGGACUUCAGCACGGUUUUUUACAAGGUCCCGUAUAGGAGGUCAGUCUAGAAGAUUCAGUUGCUUCGCAUUCAAGAUAAAGUAGUAAACUGGAUUAGACACUAACUUUUUGGAAAGAAUCCAGAGUGUAACUAUAGACUGUUGCAUUUCUGUUUGGCGCCUGUAUCUCGUGCAGUGUCACGGGGAUCGGUGCUGUGCCUGUUGUUGUUUGUCAUCCAUAUCAAUGAUCUGGAUGAAAUUACGGUUAAGAGCAUCAGCAAAUUUGCUGAUGACUCCAACAUUGGGAAGGAGCAGUUGACAAAGAGGAAGAUUACACGAGCUUUCAGUGAGGUCUGGACCAACUGGAGAAUGGACUUAAAAGGGGCCAAUGCAAUUUAAUGCAGACAGGUGCAAGAUGUUGCACUUUGGAUGGACCGAUCAGGGUAGAUCUUACUGAGAGACUGGUAGAACAAAGUGAUCGGGAAUACAGGUACAUAAGCCAUUGAAAGUGGCAGCAAAUGUUGCUAGGCUCUGAAAGAAAGUUUGUUAGUGCAUUAACCUUGGUAAAUGAAAAUAUCGUGUACGAUAUGAUGUUAUAUAAGACGUUGGAGAGGCCUCAUCUGGAUAUUAUGUGCAGUUCUGCACACCUAACUGCAGGACAGAUGGAAAUAAGUUUGAAAGAGUACAGAAAAAAAAAACAUUACAAGGAUGUAACCUGGACUGGAAGACCUAAGUUCUAAGAAGAGAGUGAACUGAUUAGGACUUUAUUCAUUGGAACAUGAAAGAUUGAGCGGAGAUUUGAUAGAAGUGUACACAAUUACAUUGGGAUAUAGAUCGGAUAAAUGCAAGCAGGCAUUUUGUACUGAGGUAAAGAGGUCCUACAACAAGAGGUUAUCACUAAAGGGUGAAAGGUGAGAAGUUCAAAGGGUACAAAGGUGAAACCGGUUUACUCAGAGGGUGGUGAGAGUGCAAAACUAGCUAGCAGGGCAAGUAGUGCAAGUUGUGAAGAGAAUUCUGAAUAGAUGCUUGCGUAAUGAGCGUAUAGAGCGCCAUGGCCCGGUGCAGGUCAACGGGAAUAAGUAGAUUCUGUAGUCUGGCAUGGAAUAGAUGGGCCAAAAGGCCUGUUUCUGUACUGUACUUUGCUGCGACUAUGACAAGUCAGCCACACAUUGUUUGGGAACUCACGGAGCCAAGACAAGCUGUGGUUAGCUGGUUUCCCUCCCUCAGGUACCGCAGUGAAGCCGGUUGGCCUAAUUGACAGUUUAAUACUCAUCCUGGAUUAAUGAGAUGAGGUGAAGCUCCCUGACGGUUCAGCCAAGAUUUGAAAUGUUUCACACCGAAUGCCUUUUGGAAGUCCAGAUAUGCAGCCACUGCUCUUACUUCACACUGAUAAAUACAGCAGGUGAUACAGGAAAAGGUGAUGCUAAACCUGCAGUUCCCAGUGCUCCCCACCUUAAAAACUGAAACCAGAUCUGCGAGAGGCAAGUCAGAGAUCAAAGUCUCCAUUCCCAAGUCGAUCUCCUAAAACAUGCAGGAGAUAAAUGUUGAUCACUAUUCCCUCUGAUACCAGCAGAUCAGUGACAAUACACGGACUGC